UAAACCUAAUCCAAUGAUCCAUUUGUCUGUCUAUAAAUUCACACGAGCCGCUUCUACUUGUAGCUAGCUUCAACCUUAGACAGCAACGGUCGAGAGGAGCAGUCAUGGCGUCCACGAACACGAAGGGUCUCCUCCUCGUCGUACUUACUCUCCUGCUCGCGGCCGCUUUCCUCGUCGCCGGCGGCGCAGCUGGCCGAACUCAGGCCAAGGAGGAGGAGGCCGAAGCCGGCGUGCCACGGGGCUUCUAUCACCAUGGCGGCGUCAGCGGCGCCGACGCUCACGGCAGCGGAUGCCGGAAGGGCUGCUGCAGGACAAGGGACGGUCGCUGCAUCCGCUGCUGCGCUAACGCCGACGAGAUCCCGGAGCCCAUGUACCGGCCGGCGGUGGAGGUCCACAACUGAUCGAGCACCAGACGUUGUGAUGCAGCAGGCAGUGAUGUUGCCCUUCAUACGGACGUGUUGUAAGCACUACUCGGGGUUAAUUAUGGUUUAGCUUGAUUAAUAAUAGUAUCGCUCUGUUCCAUAUAAACCGUUUUAGCAGAUUAAAAUAGAUUGCUAAAAGGCUUAUAAUAUGAAACGGGGGUGGUAGUACUAGUACUGUACGUGCUAAAAAGAAAGUGGGGGCAUAUCCAUGUUACCAUGUACAGUGUUCUUGUAGAACGCUCUCUUGCAAGUUUUGGUCUGUCAAAUAUAUCCGUUUGACGUCUUUGAGAUU
This is an RNA transcript of Lolium rigidum, 714 nucleotides long. It is a transcript of the gene named CYC02 protein-like, with no coding region annotated. The record is from RefSeq and is a predicted model, not a curated record. NCBI's taxonomy places the organism in Eukaryota, Viridiplantae, Streptophyta, Magnoliopsida, Poales, Poaceae. The transcript has 3 exons.